GUCUAUGACCAUACCACCCUGAAAGCGCCUGAACUCAUCUGAUCCCGGAAGCUAAGCAGGGUCGGGCCUGGUUAGUACUUGGAUGGGAGAAUGCACAGGGUAACCUUCCUCAGGGCUUCUCAAAUG
RNAcentral lists this ribosomal RNA (126 nucleotides) under Ochotona princeps (American pika). The record is from RNAcentral. Lineage: Eukaryota; Metazoa; Chordata; Mammalia; Lagomorpha; Ochotonidae.